Molecule: ribosomal RNA, 301 nt
Filed under: uncultured bacterium
Lineage: Bacteria
Description: partial 16S ribosomal RNA
Rfam family: Bacterial small subunit ribosomal RNA
Source: RNAcentral
CAGUCGCCGCGGUAAUACGGAGGGUGCAAGCGUUAAUCGGAAUUACUGGGCGUAAAGCGCACGCAGGCGGUCUGACAAGUCAGAUGUGAAAUCCCCGGUCUUAACCUGGGAACUGCAUUUGAAACUGUCAGGCUGGAGUCUUGUAGAGGGGGGUGGAAUUCCAGGUGUAGCGGUGAAAUGCGUAGAGAUCUGGAGGAAUACCGGUGGCGAAGGCGGCCCCCUGGACAAAGACUGACGCUCAGGUGCGAAAGCGUGGGGAGCAAACAGGAUUAGAUACCCGCGUAGUCCCUGUCUCUUAUAC